AAUUAUCUGCCAAGUUUCUUUGAAGAACUCUGAGGUAUACCCAUCUGGCCCUGGUGAUUUGUGCCCUGGCAUCUUGAAAAGAACCUCCUUAAUCUCCUCUUUUGUCACCUCCUUCACUAGCUUUCCACAAUCAAUCUCACUACAUUGAAAACCCAACAGCUCUCGCAGUCUCUCCACUGUUACUCCUUCAAAGUCCUCAGGAACAGCAUUCAGAAAUUGUGAGAAGAAACCCUCUGCUUCAACUUUUAUCUCCUCAUCAGUCUUAGCCAAUGUACCAUCAGCUCUCAUUACUUCUCGUAUACCAUUUCGCACUUCUCUAACUUUUAUCGCAUUGUGAAAGACCCUAUUGUUACCAUCGCCCACAUCAAGCCAAUGUAACUUCGAUCUUUGCUUGUAGAAUUCUUCCUCCAAGUAAGCUAACCGUUGCCAUCUUUCAUAAGCUGCUGCUUCUUCUCGUAUCGCGCUCGCUAGAGGUUGCUCCAAAGUGGCUUUUUGUUUCUCACAUA
This 506-nucleotide long non-coding RNA is filed under the name Brassica napus (rape). RNAcentral's name for it is "long non-coding RNA (BNAP_LNC018431)". Lineage: Eukaryota; Viridiplantae; Streptophyta; Magnoliopsida; Brassicales; Brassicaceae. The record is from RNAcentral.